RNAcentral lists this ribosomal RNA (253 nucleotides) under uncultured bacterium. RNAcentral's name for it is "partial 16S ribosomal RNA". It matches the Rfam family "Bacterial small subunit ribosomal RNA", at positions 524 to 776 of the family's 1533-position model. The record is from RNAcentral.
UACAGAGGGGGCAAGCGUUGUUCGGAAUUACUGGGCGUAAAGGGCGCGUAGGUGGCCUUCUAAGUUGAACGUGAAAUCCCUGGGCUCAACCCAGGAACUGCGUCCAAGACUGGGAGGCUUGAAUCCGGGAGAGGGAUGCGGAAUUCCAGGUGUAGCGGUGAAAUUCGUAGAUAUCUGGAGGAACACCGGUGGCGAAGGCGGCAUCCUGGACCGAGAUUGACGCUGAUGCGCGAAAGCCAGGGGAGCAAACGGG